RNAcentral lists this long non-coding RNA (280 nucleotides) under Mytilus galloprovincialis (Mediterranean mussel). Lineage: Eukaryota; Metazoa; Mollusca; Bivalvia; Mytilida; Mytilidae. The record is from RNAcentral.
CAAACACAUGCUUCUUAAUAAAAAAAAAAUUUUUAAAAAAUUAUGUUUUGUAGUAAACAAUUAUAAUUGCACUAUAAUAUGACUUUCAAACUAUAUGUUGUGAAUUUUACCUAAUGCCAAUCAAUGCUCAGAUCUCAGAAAUCCUUGUAAUGUGGUUCUGGAGAAAAAUGUGACGACAAUGCUCAACUUGGCCAUCAUUUGCAAAAUGAUAGUUGAUAAUAAGGCCUUUGAAAAUAGUGGAAUUAAUUACUUUUGUAGUGUCAAAAUGUCAAUAGGGCGA